RNAcentral lists this ribosomal RNA (777 nucleotides) under uncultured bacterium. RNAcentral describes it as "bacterial SSU rRNA". It matches the Rfam family "Bacterial small subunit ribosomal RNA", at positions 62 to 818 of the family's 1533-position model. The record is from RNAcentral.
UCGAACGCGAAAGUCCCCUUCGGGGGACGAGUAGAGUGGCGUCCGGGUGAGUAACACGUAGGUAAUCUACCUCUGGGUGGGGAAUAACGACCGGAAACGGUCGCUAAUACCGCAUAAUGCAGCGGCACCACAUGGUGACAGUUGUUAAAGCGGGGGAUCGUAAGACCUCGCGCCUAGAGAGGAGCCUGCGGCGGAUUAGCUAGUUGGCAGGGUAACGGCCUACCAAGGCAACGAUCCGUAGCCGGCCUGAGAGGGCGGUCGGCCACACUGGCACUGACAUACGGGCCAGACUCCUACGGGAGGCAGCAGUCGGGAAUUUUGGGCAAUGGGCGAAAGCCUGACCCAGCAACGCCGCGUGAAGGAUGAAGCUUCUCGGAGUGUAAACUUCAUAAGAAUGGGACGAAUAAGUGGGGGAUAAUACCCCCCAUGAUGACGGUACCAUUUGUAAGCUCCGGCUAACUCCGUGCCAGCAGCCGCGGUAAUACGGAGGGAGCAAGCGUUGUUCGGAUUUACUGGGCGUAAAGGGCGCGUAGGCGGCGUGACAAGUCACUUGUGAAAUCUCCGGGCUUAACCCGGAGCGGCCAAGUGAUACUGUCGUGCUAGAGUGCGGAAGGGGCUACUGGAAUUCCCGGUGUAGCGGUGAAAUGCGUAGAUAUCGAGAGGAACACCUGCGGCGAAGGCGGGUAGCUGGGCCGACACUGACGCUGAGGCGCGAAAGCCAGGGGAGCGAACGGGAUUAGAUACCCCGGUAGUCCUGGGCCUUAACGAUGGAUGCUU